CUUACCAGGUCCAGACACAGUUAGGAUUGACAGAUUGAAAGCUCUUUCUUGAUUCUGUGGGUGGUGGUGCAUGGCCGUUCUUAGUUGGUGGAGUGAUUUGUCUGGUUAAUUCCGAUAACGAACGAGACCUCAGCCUAUUAAUUAAAUAAAAAAAUAUAAGCAAUUAUAAGGGUUAAAUAAAAUUUAAUUUAAUAUUAUUUUUUAGUAUUAAAUUAUUUUAUUUAAAACUUGUUUAUAUUUAUUUUUAUUUUCUUAAAGGGACACUUGGUGUUUAACCAAGGGAAGUUUGAGGCAAUAACAGGUCUGUGAUGCCCUUUAGAUGUUCUGGGCCGCACGCGCGCUACACUGAUAAAAUCAAUAAGUUUUUUAAUUUAAUUCCUUGACUGAAAAGUUUGGGUAAACUUUGAAAAUUUUAUCGUGCUGGGGAUUGACAAUUGUAAUUAUUUGUCAUGAACGAGGAAUUCCUAGUAAACGUAAGUCAUCAGCUUACGUUGAUUACGUCCCUGCCCUUUGUACACACCGCCGUC
This 527-nucleotide ribosomal RNA is filed under the name Korotnevella heteracantha. RNAcentral describes it as "bacterial SSU rRNA". It matches the Rfam family "Eukaryotic small subunit ribosomal RNA", at positions 1214 to 1677 of the family's 1831-position model. Lineage: Eukaryota; Discosea; Flabellinia; Dactylopodida; Paramoebidae. The record is from RNAcentral.